RNAcentral lists this non-coding RNA (253 nucleotides) under Aeromonas hydrophila. RNAcentral describes it as "partial 16S ribosomal RNA". It matches the Rfam family "Bacterial small subunit ribosomal RNA", at positions 524 to 776 of the family's 1533-position model. The record is from RNAcentral. Lineage: Bacteria; Pseudomonadati; Pseudomonadota; Gammaproteobacteria; Aeromonadales; Aeromonadaceae. RNAcentral also lists the same sequence under 7 other names.
UACGGAGGGUGCAAGCGUUAAUCGGAAUUACUGGGCGUAAAGCGCACGCAGGCGGUUGGAUAAGUUAGAUGUGAAAGCCCCGGGCUCAACCUGGGAAUUGCAUUUAAAACUGUCCAGCUAGAGUCUUGUAGAGGGGGGUAGAAUUCCAGGUGUAGCGGUGAAAUGCGUAGAGAUCUGGAGGAAUACCGGUGGCGAAGGCGGCCCCCUGGACAAAGACUGACGCUCAGGUGCGAAAGCGUGGGGAGCAAACAGG